RNAcentral lists this ribosomal RNA (464 nucleotides) under uncultured bacterium. Its description in RNAcentral is "partial 16S ribosomal RNA". It matches the Rfam family "Bacterial small subunit ribosomal RNA", at positions 339 to 795 of the family's 1533-position model. The record is from RNAcentral.
CUACGGGGCGCAGCAGUGGGGAAUAUUGCACAAUGGGCGCAAGCCUGUUGCAGCCAUGCCGCGUGUAUGAAGAAGGCCUUCGGGUUGUAAAGUACUUUCAGCGGGGAGGAAGGGAGUAAAGUUAAUACCUUUGCUCAUUGACGUUACCCGCAGAAGAAGCACCGGCUAACUCCGUGCCAGCAGCCGCGGUAAUACGGAGGGUGCAAGCGUUAAUCGGAAUUACUGGGCGUAAAGCGCACGCAGGCGGUUUGUUAAGUCAGAUGUGAAAUCCCCGGGCUCAACCUGGGAAGUGCAUCUGAUAAUGGCAAGCUUGAGGCUCGUAGAGGGGGGUAGAAUUCCAGGUGUAGCGGUGAAAUGCGUAGAGAUCUGGAGGAAUACCGGUGGCGAAGGCGGCCCCCUGGACGAAGACUGACGCUCAGGUGCGAAAGCGUGGGGAGCAAACAGGAUUAGAUACCCCUGUAGUC